UGGCUCUAUGACCGGAUUUUCCACAGUUCCAGCAAACAUCUUCCUUAUGGGAAGGUCUUUUCUUCCUAAAUUUCUUUUUGGAAGGAGAAGGUUUGUCUCUAGAAAUAUGUUUUCUAGAUUUUUUUGACUUAAAGGAAUGUUUCUUAGAACUCUUCUUAGAUUGAAGGGGGUGGAUCUAUGUUUCCAAAUCCAAAGUCUCUACGGAAACUACCUAGACUUAAAGGAAUGUUUCUUAGAACUCUUUUUAGAGAUCUUUGAAGGGGGUGGAUCUAUGUUUCCAAAUCCAAAGUCUCUACAGAAACUACCUAAUUCAGCUCU
RNAcentral lists this long non-coding RNA (318 nucleotides) under Nicotiana benthamiana. RNAcentral describes it as "long non-coding RNA (NBEN_LNC014925)". The record is from RNAcentral. Lineage: Eukaryota; Viridiplantae; Streptophyta; Magnoliopsida; Solanales; Solanaceae.